This 253-nucleotide ribosomal RNA is filed under the name uncultured bacterium. Its description in RNAcentral is "partial 16S ribosomal RNA". It matches the Rfam family "Bacterial small subunit ribosomal RNA", at positions 524 to 776 of the family's 1533-position model. The record is from RNAcentral.
UACGAAGGGGGCUAGCGUUGUUCGGAAUUACUGGGCGUAAAGCGUAUGCAGGCGGACUUUUAAGUCGGGGGUGAAAUCCCGAGGCUCAACCUCGGAACUGCCUUCGAUACUGGAAGUCUUGAGUCCGGUAGGGGAGCGUGGAAUUCCUGGUGUGGCGGUGAAAUGCGCAGAUAUCAGGAGGAACACCAGCGGCGAAGGCGGCGCUCUGGGCCGGUACUGACGCUGAGGAGCGAAAGCGUGGGGAGCAAACAGG